GACGAACGCUGGCGGCGUGCCUAAUACAUGCAAGUUGAGCGAUGAAGCUUGGUGCUUGCACCAAUUUGAAGAGCAGCGAACGGGUGAGUAACGCGUGGGGAAUCUGCCUUUGAGCGGGGGACAACAUUUGGAAACGAAUGCUAAUACCGCAUAACAACUUUAAACAUAAGUUUUAAGUUUGAAAGAUGCAAUUGCAUCACUCAAAGAUGAUCCCGCGUUGUAUUAGCUAGUUGGUGAGGUAAAGGCUCACCAAGGCGAUGAUACAUAGCCGACCUGAGAGGGUGGUCGGCCACAUUGGGACGGAGACACGGCCCAAACUCCUACGGGAGGCAGCAGGAGGGAAGCUUCGGCAAUGGACGAAAGUCUGACCGAGCAACGCCGCGUGAGUGAAGAAGGGUGUCGGAUCGUAAAACUCUGUUGGUAGAGAAGAACGUUGGUGAGAGUGGAAAGCUCAUCAAGUGACGGUAACUACCCAGAAAGGGACGGCUAACUACGUG
This 497-nucleotide ribosomal RNA is filed under the name uncultured bacterium. RNAcentral describes it as "partial 16S ribosomal RNA". It matches the Rfam family "Bacterial small subunit ribosomal RNA", at positions 28 to 507 of the family's 1533-position model. The record is from RNAcentral.